RNAcentral lists this transfer RNA (71 nucleotides) under Stegodyphus mimosarum. It matches the Rfam family "tRNA". Rfam says of the family: Transfer RNA (tRNA) molecules are approximately 80 nucleotides in length. The record is from Rfam by way of RNAcentral. Lineage: Eukaryota; Metazoa; Arthropoda; Arachnida; Araneae; Eresidae.
ACCUUCCUGGUGCAGUGGUCAGCACGCUCGACUGAUAACCGAGAGGUCCGUGGUUCGAUCCCGGCAAGGCG